AGCGCCCGAGGAACCCCGCAGCCCACUGCCCUGGCGUCUCCGGCAGUGGGAGGCCGAGAGGGGCUGUUGGCUAGAGCCCUCCACCACCUGCUGUCUCGCCCUCGCCCCUUUCUCUCGGAUUCAUUACCCAGAAGGCGCAGGAACCCCUCCCUGGUCAUCGUCUCUGGAUGGAGUCACACAGCCUCUGCUUCGGCAUCUGUCUUGUAUGCUGCCUUACAAACCUUACAGCUGCCCUCACGCUUUGCACCUGUGAAUGUGGACUCUCCUUCUUCGGGUGCCUUGCUCUGCAUGGUUCAGUGCCUUCGCUGUGCUCUUCUACCUGAAAUCUCCUGCCUCUACUUGUCUACCAGGAAAACCCUAACCGACCACCAAGCCUCAGCUCAAAUGCUGUGUCCUAUGGAAGUUCCUCUAGGCAGAUUUAGUGGCUGCUUCUGCUGGACCUCCCAUAGACACACACACACCUUUGUCCACACAUCCAUUAUAACCACUAUCUUUUCUCAUUGCAUAUGCUUAUUAUGUUCAAAUUCAUCUCCCCACUAGACUAAGUCCCUUGAGGCCAGGAAUGAUGUCUUACCUUUGCAUUCUCAGCAGCUAGUCUAUUGCCCAGUAAUAAAGUAUUACUUAAUGAAUACAUCAAAUGAAUGUAUGAAUAAAUGAUACCUAAACAAAGUUCUACAGGAGCCUAGAAAUGGGAGCUAUAACCGGUGACUGGCCACACUGAAGAAGCAGCAUUUGACCUUGUAUUGAAGAACAAGUUUGAUUUUGCUUGGCAGAAAAAAAAAAAGGAGAGGACUAUAAGCAGAAGAAUAACAAGAACAAAGGCAUAGGAGUGGGCAAAUCCGUGGUCUUCUCAGAGAGCACCUCAUGUUACAGGUCCAGUGGAAGACAGACAUGAAAGAGGAAGUUUGGACCAGAAUAAUGUAUGUGCUAAGGAGCUGUGGGCCUUAUUCUGGACAUAAUAAAGAACCAUGAAAAAAUUUUGAAUAGGGAAAAGUCAUGACCAGAUACAUGACUUGAUUGGAGGUUGGUUAGAAGGAAAUUGCUAUGAUCUGGGCAAUUGAAGUAAGUGAAAGCCUGAUAGAGUUGCAGCAGCAGUAGGAGGAGGGAAACCAAGUAAAUUUGAGAAGCAUUUUGGAAAUAGGAUCAAGAUGACUUGGCAACCAAUUGAAUAUGGGAAGUGAGGAACCAGUGAAGCUGAAGCUUGGCCAAGCUUUCUGACCUGGCAACUGAGUGAACACUCAGACAACACCACCUACAACUAUAUCGUCUUUACAGGCAGAUUGGAAGCUCUGAGAGAGUAAGGCCCUUGCUCUUGGUGUAUCCUCUACAUCUCUUGUAGCUCCUAACACUGACCGUGCAUUCAGAGGUUCCUAGUAAACAUUUGUUGAAAGAAUUGAUGAUGUUUCUUAUACUCACCAAAUAUGUCAAAAAGGAAAAUAUAAUACAAUGUCUUUUCUUCAGAGACAUUUUCAAAUUCUCAGCAUGUUUUUCCACCACAAAUGAAUUCACAACUAUCUCAUUCAACUUGUACAUCCACAAAAGUGACCCAUUGUUGCACAAACUGAAAUCUCCUUUAAGAUUGUGUGUGUGCUGGGGAGGACAGUCAAACGGUUGGUAUUUUUACUUUUUUUUUUUUUUUUUUUGGAGAGAGGGCUAUGAUAUUUUUGGUCCUCUGAAAAUGAAUCCAAAACAAUAAAACAAGCUGAAUGUUUUCCUCUAGUGGAAAGAAAGAAAGCAAACCUACUACAGGUAAAUUGAAAUCUUCAAACAGACCCAUAACACACUGCUGAGACAUUCUUGAGAUGAUGGCUUUAGUUAGACUGGGGCCACACAUCUUUACAUUUCUUCAUUCACCUGGCAGGACUAAUGAGAUUUUAUGGCGGGCAAGCUGUUUAUCCCUUGGGUGACAUUGGCAAGCACAUCUAUAUCUUUAUCAAUCAAGGGUUUUCUGCACUGCAACUCCCACCCCCAACCUAAAGAUUGCCCCAGCCUGGAUCACAACAUUUACAACACGUAAGAACCUCAUUCCUUUUCAUCAACACUCCACCCAUCACUUUCUGUUACCUAGAUCUAAUCAUGUGUGUCCUAACAUCACAUUGCUCCAUAACAAGGGGCAGGAAGAAGAAAUGAAUAAAAGGAAAAGAAAAAAAGGUUUCGAUGGUACCUGCAAGUUGAUGCAGAGCUGACAGCUCCAUGGCUAGAAUAUUAUAUUUGCCCAAUAGAACAAUAGGUCUGCUGGCAAGCUGUUACCUACAGUACUGUAUCUGCUGAACAGGUGGAAAAAGCUCUCUUCCCCUCUGCAGUGGUUUAGGAACAUGAGGAGGUGACCACCACUCCAGUUUGGAAACAAGGAUUUGGUUCCCCUUUGUAGCUUUCAUAUUGCCUGAAUUCACCUGCAAUGUCUAUUUUCAGUACUUAAUAAAUACUCAUAUACACAUGAACAUACAAACUCACAUAUUUAACAAUUGCCAUCAUAAACUCUCAGGAUGAUGUAUCCAUUCUACCUUUGCAACCUGGAAAAUGUCCCCAGAUCUCAGACCAAGGAGAUACUGGGGAAAUGGCUCUGCAAAAAUCCAGGAACAGGUUUUGGUUCUGGUUCUCCCAUAGAAUAUAUCUAUAACACCUGGACAGAAUGCUUGGUGCAGCUGCUUGAGAACUCUUGAAAAAGUAAACAGUAGCAGGUAGAUUGUGGGAGAAAACCAGAAUUCAAAAGUAUCACCAAUUGACUGUGGAUUUACCAUGUUUACCCUCUGUAUUCCCUGGACAGGACUCAAGGCAGCCUUUGUGACAGGGAGGGUUCCAGCAUAAACCUUCUAGUUCAGACUCAAGGUGAGAGAAGAGUCUUCUGGCAGUGGCAGCCACAGCAUGGAAGGCCCACAGCACAGAAUAUGCUGUCGAAGCGGGACCUUCCUCUUCAGUCAAAGGAAUCAUGGUCCCAAGACCAUGCUUUUUCUUUUCUCUGGGCUCCCACCACUUGGUCCUGGACAGGGCAGAGUCACAGUGAGUGCACAGAAGAGCAGGGUGAUAAGGCUCCAGUUUUCUGGAUGGAUAGCCAAAAAGGUGAAUCCUGGGAAACUGGAAAGUGCCAGGGAGAUGGUAGAGAGAAAGGAGCUUGGGAAAACGAACCCAGACAGUUAUUUGCUGGCUUGUGGGCACACCCUUGAGCUGUGCAUUCUUGGAUUUGAUCACAAACAUCAUAACAGAGACUUUGAGAACUGAAUUAACAGCUACAUCGCUAUCUAGGUCCCAUCCUGACCAUGAAAUAAUAGGCACCCAGGAGAAACGUGAACAGGACCACAGUGACUUUGAAAAUAGAACUGACAUUGCAACCACAACCACAGAAAGCUGAUCAGAACUUGCAGUCUAAACCAAUUGUGUCAAUUGCCUGCUAAAAAAACAUAAGUAAAUGAACAAACCUGUACAGAUUGAAACAAGACCUAGUGUCUCAUAAUAUAAUAUUCAAAAUGCUCAUGAUAUGCUUCAAAACUAGUCGCCAUGUGAACCAGGAAAAUCUCAACUCAUGAGAGAAAAGACAAUCAAUGGAUGUCAAUAUGAAGAAAACACAAAUGUGAUAGUUAUUUGACAAGAAAUUAAAGCGACUUUUAUAAAAGUGCUCUAAGAAGUAAGAACCAACACUCUAGAAAGCUUUAGCAAAGAGAAUAAAGAUUGAGAAAAGUAAAAAUUAAAAAAAAAAUUAAAAACCACCCAGAACUUCAGGGUCCUGUGAAACAAUUCCCCAAAAGCCUAAUAUUUGUGUCAUCAGAGCUCCAAAAGGACAGGAAAAAGUGUGGUACAGAAAAAUACUCAAAAAAUAAAGACUGGAAACUUCCCAAAUUUGGCAAAAAGCACAAACCUAUAGAAAUUCAGUGAACUCCAAACAGGACAAACCCAGAGGAACCUAUGCCCAAACAUUCUAAUGAAACUGCUAAGAACUAAAACCAGCCCCGAAAAUAUUAAAACAGUCAGAGAAAACCAACACACUAUUUAUAGAGGAACAAUUAAAUGACUGUGGAAUUCUCAUCUAAAACAAUUGGAGGCAAGAUGAUAAAAUGCUGAAAGAAAAAAAAUUGUCACCCUAGAAUUCUAUAUUCUAAGAAAAUAUCCUUCAGGAAUGAAGGUGGAAUAAGAACAUUAUCAGAUACAUGAAAAAUAAGAGAAUUUUUGGCAGCAGUCGUGCUGUAGAAGAAUUACUAAAGAAAGAUCUACAGACAGUUACCUCGUGUGAAAGAAACUAGACUCAAAAGGUUAUGUACUGUAAUGAUUUCAUUUAUAUAGCAAUUUCAAAAAUAAAAAUUUGGCAACAGAGAAUAGAUCAGUGGUUGCUAGGGUUCGGGGUGGGAUGAGGGUGUGAUUAAAAUGGGACAGCAUGAAGACAUUUUGGUGUGAUGAAGCUGUUCUGCAACCUGAUUCUCUACACUCAUUAAAAGGCGUAGAAUUCUACACACACCCAAGGUCAAUCUUGCUGCAUGUUAAUUUUUUUUAGGCCAAUAAACAAGAGAUGUUCCUCUCUAAGAACCUUCUAGUCUAAAUAAUACUGAAUAAUACUUCACCACCUUCCUUGGACACCUGCUUGUGAAGGUCAUUGACAAGGCCAAUGCCCGGUUGUUUCUGCUGCCCUUGAGUGUGCAGCUCACAGCUGAAUUUACCCUCCCCACCUGCCCCACUGCCAGUUCAAGCUCAGAAAAUAUCACACGUUUGAGCUGAACAAUGAAUAAGAAGUCAGGAGGCAUUUUGUGGGACUGCCCUCUUCUACAAAAUCUAUAAAGCUCACCUCCCUUCGCCCCUCCUGAGAAACAAGAUAAGAAAAAAAACCAUUGAACUUAUGAAGAUCAGGACUUAUAUAUCUAGGUGUCACCUCAUCAUUGGAGCACCCACUUCUGUGUUUCCUUCCUAGCUGCUGCACCCCAAAAUGUGCAGCAAAGCCCCAGCAGGCCCUGGAGCCCCUACCUGCUGCACUACCCUACCACUCCACUGAUGUCUAGAGUAUUUCUCUUGCAGCAGAUAUCCUUUUGGUCAAAGUAAUAAUUGUCCUUUUGUAUCAGGUGGUUGGUAUUCUUAUUUUCGCCUUUGGCAGACCCAUAGGAGGAAAAGAGAAUCGCAUGUUUGCAGGAGAAGGGAUAAAAUAAAAAUAAGACCUUAGGCAUUGCUCUAAUACUGCAGUUCUGCAUUGUUUAAAAACCGUGUUUGUGGCUGGGCGCGGUGGCUCAUGCCUGUAAUCCCCGCACUUUGGGAGGCCAAGGCGGGAGGAUCAUGAGGUCAGGAGAUCGAGACCAUCCUGGCUAACAUGAUGAAACCCCAUCUUUACUCAAAAUACACAAAAAAUUAGCCAGGCAUGGUGGCAGGCACCUGUAGUCACAGCUACUCAGGAGGCUGAGGCAGGAGAAUGGCAUGAACCUGGGAGGCUGGAGCUUGCAGUGAGCCGAGAUCACGCCUCUCCAGCCUGGGCAACAGAGAGAGACUCCAUCUCAAAAAAAAAAGCAAAACUGUGUUUGUGUGACUCUUUCCCCCUUAAGGCAGGCAUUAUGCCUUACUCAGUUUUGUGUCUCCAGGGAACUGCACAGUGAUAGACAUGUGGAGGCACUCAUAGAGAUAUAGGUUGUAAGUAAGUGAAUGCAUGCACCCAUGGCUGAAUAAAUGAACCGUGUGACUGAUACAAUUCUGCAAAUACAGCAGAUGCCCAAGUGGGUCUCUUAGCUCUGACAGCAGGCAAAGGUGGUGGUGAUCCAGUGGCCUAGAGAGGGCAGGGUGCCAAUGGAGGGCUCCAGUCUGGUAACAGGAAGGCAGGAGAAUUGGGCCACAGCAGGCACCUCAUCCCCCUGCCCCCCUGCCCCAUGGAUUGGCACGAGCAGUCCAUCUCUAGGCUGAGCAGAAGGAAGGAAAUCACAGCAGAAAACAUAGUCCUGGUGAGAUGCUCUAAAGUCAAUAUUCGAACGAAAACAUCACUCCUCUACAGUGUUUCCUGUUCCAUGAGAUGCUCCUUCAAAUAAUGUCCCCUCCUCAAACACGUUUAAAAAACACUCUAGGCUGUGUCUCCUUCUUAAAGAUGCACAAUACAUAUUUGCUUAUUAAAUCCUCUGGAAAGCCGCAGAGUAAAGAAAUGUUUAAUUUUUUAAUAUAUAGUUGAGGUAGAAUGAACAUAUGCACAGGUCUUGUAUUCAACUCAAUAAUAUUUGAGAGUUUAAUGCUCAGUUUACUGCUACCCAAAACAAGAUGUAGAAUAUUUCCAUCACCCCAGAAAGUUUCUCCAUGCCCGAUUCCAGCCAACCCACUGUCCGCACUCAGAGACAACCACUGUCUUACCGCUCAUCAGCAUCAUCUGCCUUUGCUUGUUCUUGGACUAUGCCACAUGUAUUUUUGUGUGGCUUGCUUCUUUUGCUCAGUGUGAAGAUAUUUUAGUUGUGUCAAUGCUGUUGUGUAUAUUAGUAGUUCUUUUUUUC
RNAcentral lists this long non-coding RNA (6437 nucleotides) under Homo sapiens (human). RNAcentral's name for it is "non-protein coding lnc-UBE2L5-2:3". The record is from RNAcentral. Lineage: Eukaryota; Metazoa; Chordata; Mammalia; Primates; Hominidae.